Molecule: long non-coding RNA, 918 nt
Organism: Amphibalanus amphitrite
Lineage: Eukaryota; Metazoa; Arthropoda; Thecostraca; Balanomorpha; Balanidae
Exons: 2
Source: RefSeq, a predicted model, not a curated record
GUGAGGGGUGCGGUUAUUUUUUCUCAUCUUAGUUUGCUAUUUUGGCGCGAUUUUGACAAUUUCUGGCGCAUUCCACUUAUUUACUUUAGCGGCCAUAGGGCAAUGGUUUACUAACGGGAAAUGUGAUGAAUUGCAGCAGCAAUUCUUGGAAUAUAAAGAAGAAGUGAAGCAAUUAUGAUGCCUAUUAUUUUUUUAUAAUGACAGAAGGAACGUGGAAGAAAAACAUUCAUUUUUUGCAGCAUGUGAAAACAAGGAAAUAGAAUGAAAGAAGGGCUGCUAUGAGUGCUACUUUUCAUGCGCCUGAAACCAGCCACCUCAUCAUCAUAGCAUGUUGCAUUGGAGCUCUGCUGGAGUUUGCUGAUGACAGGAUGCUGAAGGGCUGAAGCUGGUAGCUCUGGCAGGAGUCCAGUGUCCACCAGCUCAAGAUCCGACGCCGCCGUGCGGCACUCCGCGGAGACGGGGACGGCGGUCAUGAUUGAAGCCACCGCAUUUCCCGCCUGGAUUGUCCGGUCGGAGACUGGUAAUCCCUCCGGUGAGCCGCACACCGUGGAGCUACUGCACCGCGCGUGUCCACCCGCAGCGCAGUGCCAGCAACGGUGCCGUGAGUGCGACAUCUGCGUGCAUAUGACGCAGUGCGACUGUCCCGACUCGCGGCUCAGUGUUAACUGUCAGUGUGACAGUGCGGCUCGCGCUCGUUUUAGCGAGGUGCUCUGUUGUAUAUAACCACCUUGAUGAAGACCUAUAUGCUGCCGCUUGAGUUUCAAUGUACAGUUUUAUGCAUCAAACUAGCGUAAGUAAAUGGCUGUCAGAGGUCAAUUUGAAGCGCAAUUAGUACCCAUAACCCAGCUGGGUUGAGCGAGUCAUGUGAUUAGUCCCGAUGAACGUACUGUUUCGAUGUCGUCAGUCGUAGACUUUUGU